Long non-coding RNA from Mustela erminea (ermine), 846 nucleotides. RefSeq lists it as uncharacterized. The record is from RefSeq and is a predicted model, not a curated record. Lineage: Eukaryota; Metazoa; Chordata; Mammalia; Carnivora; Mustelidae. The transcript is spliced from 4 exons.
GGCCCUGCCUGUCCCGAACCAUGGAAUGAAGGAGCACCUGGGGGCAUGGAGGGAGUCAGCAGAGGAGCUGGGGGAGCCUUUCCCUGGAGGAACGGCUGGCUCCCUCUGGCAGUGGGAAGAAGAAGGUCCAGCUCAGGAGCUCUGACCACAGGGUGGGUGACAUGACUAAAGGCAUGAAGCCCAGGAAAGGCUGGGAGCCAGGACUGGCCCUGGAAGUCCUCUGACUCCUGUGCUAUGGCUACUUCUCCCUCCACCAUGCCCAGCCCUCCCAUCCUCUUCCACCUACCAACCUUUGUGUGCCCCUCCACCACCAGUUUGCAGGGAGUUCCCGCCACCCAAGGCGCUGGCCCCUUCCGCACACUGCAGCCUCACCUGCGCAGCUCGGUCCCCCAUCUCCUGGCAGCGGACAAACCACUGGCUCUUCAGUAGGUAUUCAACCACAUCCCCAGAACGGCUGAGAGAGAGACAGGCUAAGUGUACUGCUCUUUGGGUUCUGUGUUUUUCCCCCAAGGGACAUGGGACCCUAUUACACGCCAGGCCCUCAGAACCGAGAACAGAACAGCAAAUAAAACUGACACAGAGCUUCUGUUCCCUCGCAAAGGGAAUAGCAGCCUCCUGUAGAAUGAUGCUAAGCUUCUGACAGGCAAGUACCACAUGCACUUUUCACACGUGACACAGAAUAUCUAGAAUAAAUGCCCACAAGAAUGCAAAUACUACCCCAAGGUUCCUUAUGUGCCUCCCACCAGGCCAUGUGGGAAAUGGAUUUGUGGGUUCCUUCCCAUCAACCCAACACAUGCGCAAGAAAGCAGAGAUAAGCAGGCAACCUUUCUGAGGAUUACCCUCACC